RNAcentral lists this ribosomal RNA (249 nucleotides) under Triticum aestivum (bread wheat). RNAcentral's name for it is "partial small subunit ribosomal RNA". Lineage: Eukaryota; Viridiplantae; Streptophyta; Magnoliopsida; Poales; Poaceae. The record is from RNAcentral.
AUGGGGUUCCGAGAUUUACAUUGUUUCAAUUUGGCGUUACUAGCCAAGCAAGCAUGGCGUUUGCUUGAUAAUCCGGAAUCGUUAUGUGCCACAAUCAUGAGAGCUAAAUAUUUCCCGGAUGGCGAUUUAAUGAAUGCAAGUCUAAAGAAGGGUUCCUCUUUCACCUGGCAAAGCAUUAUGGCAGGGGUUAAUUCUCUAAGGAACGGCUAUAUCUGGCGAGUUGGAAACGGACAAAAAAUUGAUAUUUAG